RNAcentral lists this ribosomal RNA (486 nucleotides) under uncultured bacterium. RNAcentral describes it as "bacterial SSU rRNA". It matches the Rfam family "Bacterial small subunit ribosomal RNA", at positions 30 to 507 of the family's 1533-position model. The record is from RNAcentral.
AUUGAACGCUGCGGCAUGCUUUACACAUGCAAGUCGAACGGCAGGCACGGGCUUCGGCCUGGUGGCGAGUGGCGAACGGGUGAGUAAUGCAUCGGAACGUGCCCAUGUUUGGGGGAUAACUACGCGAAAGCGUGGCUAAUACCGCAUACGCCCUGAGGGGGAAAGCGGGGGAUUCUUCGGAACCUCGCGCAAUUGGAGCGGCCGAUGUCAGAUUAGCUUGUUGGUGAGGUAAAGGCUCACCAAGGCGACGAUCUGUAGCGGGUCUGAGAGGAUGAUCCGCCACACUGGGACUGAGACACGGCCCAGACUCCUACGGGAGGCAGCAGUGGGGAAUUUUGGACAAUGGGGGCAACCCUGAUCCAGCCAUGCCGCGUGAGUGAAGAAGGCCUUCGGGUUGUAAAGCUCUUUCAGCCGGGAAUAAAACGCACGCUCUAACAUAGCGUGUGGAUGACGGUACCGGACCAAGAAGCACCGGCUAACUACGUG